This 6427-nucleotide long non-coding RNA is filed under the name Sus scrofa (pig). RNAcentral's name for it is "lncRNA (ENSSSCG00000061262.1)". The record is from RNAcentral. Lineage: Eukaryota; Metazoa; Chordata; Mammalia; Artiodactyla; Suidae.
CUUUUUAGGGCUGCACCCACAGCGUAUGGAGGUUCCUAGGCUAGGGGUCUAAUCGGAGCUACAGCUGCCGGCUGACGCCACAGCCAUAGCAACGCCAGAUGCGAGCCGCGUCUGUGACCUACACCACAGCUCACAGCAACACCGAUCCUUAACCCACUGAGUGAGGCCAGGGAUCAAACCCACAACCUCAUGGUUUCUAGUCAGAUUCAUUUCCGCUGCGCUACGACAGGAACUCACUCCCUACAAGUCUUAAAUAAAGAAGACAAAAGGUUUAGAGCUGAUAAAACUGGUUUAUGCUAUACUGAUGGUCAUUUUCUUACUCAUUAUUCUUUCUGUUGAUUUUAAGGAAAUAUUAAGAGGCUGACCAGCAGCUCUGGGCCUGAGCACAGGGUCUGCCUUCACAGGACUCAUGGCAGGACAAGGGAAGCAGGAAUGCCCGGUGCUCUGGGGUUGCCAGAUACCAUGCGUGGAGGGCUUUUCCCUUGCAACUUGCAGUCUCUCCUCCAACCUAGGAGUGAAUGCCUGGUCUGAUACUCUGGGCUGCAGUGGGAACCAAGUCCAUCUCCUCACCGCCCCACACCCAGCUGGUGCAGGGGCUUGAAACUCCUCUCUACCAGUUACCCUCUCCCCACCUGCUUUCCAUCGAAACCACUCGGACUCAGACUCCCCACUUCACUUUGUCCCUGUAGGUUUAUCGCCCUUCUGACCCUUUACUGUCAUUUUAAUGGGGUCUUUGUUUUUUUUUUAAUUUUUAAAAUUACAGUUGAUUUAUAAUGUUCUGUCAAUUUCUGCUAUGCAGCAAAGCAACCUAGUCAUACACAUAUACAUUAUUUGUCUCAUAUCAUCUCCCAUCAUCUUCUAUCCCAAGAGAUUGGACACAGUUCCUUGCGCUGUACGGUAGGACCUCAAUGCUUAUCCAUUCUAACUGUAACAGUUUCCAUCUACCAAUCCCAAACUCCCCAUCCACCCCACUACCUCCCUCUUCCCCCUUGGGAAGUCUGUUCUCCAUUUAAUGGGGUCUUUGGAGAGACAAAAAAUAAUACAUAUGAUAGACUGAUAUCCUUAACCCAAAUGGAUAAUGAAUCUGUUUGAAAAGACACGUGAUAAAGAGGGUUUUGCUAUGGACUGAAUGUUUUUGCCUCCCGCCCAAAUUUAUAUGUCAAUUUGGAGAUACAGCCUUUGGGAAGUAACUAGGGCAUAAAGGUGCCCUUAUUAGAAGACACUAAAAAGAACUUGCUUCCCCUCCCUGCUCUCUGCUACAUGAGGAUAUGGCCACGCGCAAACCAGGAAACCAUUCUGCCGGCACCUCGGUCCUGACUUUCCACCCUCUAGACCCAUGAGAAGUCAGUGUUUGUGCUUUAAGCCACCCAGGCUAUGGUAAACCCAGCCCAAGUACACCAAGACAGAGGUAGUGGAAUAUUCUAUUUACAUGUCCUGAGUGACUUGGAUAUAUUCAUGCUUUUGCAUGCAAAAACUAGGAGAUAUGAUCCAACAUGGAAAUUUGGAAAUGUGUGCAAGCAAUUUCCUGGACAGCUCCCACCCUUAGUCCAUUAAGGACCUGGGCUUUUGAUCUUGUGUUCCAUACACAGUCACCCUGUUUAGGAGCAAAGCAACCCACGUCAAAGCAACCCAACUGCCCCAGUUAGUUAACUUUCCAAUCCAUGAGGCGCUCUCUUCAUGAACCAUAUCACAUAUCACAGAUGGAGACCUAAUGAUUGGCAUAUAUUUUACACCUAAAAUGUUUUUAAUGCCAGAGGAAUGUUUUGGUAGUCAAAGUAAUAUCAAACCAAGAGUUUCUAAUUCCAAAAAUUACUCUAGAAAUUAUUCAAAUAAAUGAAUAAUCCAAAAAGACUUUCAAAAAUGAAUUCAAUUACACUUGAGUUUCUAAUCUAAUGUAUAAAUGCACCUGCUGGAACUGAAACAUCGAAGGAGGAAAAUAUCAAAGGAUAAAGAUGACCAUAAGCAGUAGGUUAGGCAUGACACAGAACCUAAGAGUCUUUUUCGAAUUUUGUGAACUACUGAUAGCUAGGGAAAGAAUUUCGCAUGGAUCAUUCUAAAGUUAGAAAGCCAAAUUCUCUCAGCCCCACAUGACUUUCAGAGAGCUUCUUCACACUAUUUGGACCCCUGGACUGGAAAACUGAGUUCAUCUAGACUCAGCUGUCUCAUCGCUCACUGAGAAAACAUUUUGGUUUCCAGCAGGUUUGGCAUCCAAAAUAUGAAAUGGUUUGUUUUCAAUGAUGUCGUUCUCCCUGCCGACCUCUCCCAUAGACACAAAUAAACAGUUAAUUAUCAUAGAAAUAACUAGUAUGUGUGUGUGUGUGUGUGUGUGUGUGUGUGUGUGUGUGUGUGCAAUGCAAGAGGCAGAGUAAGCCAGACCUUUCAAAUGCUGCAUUUGUUCAAUCAUCUGGAAAAACACAAAAGAAGUAAUUUACAUUUUCAGUUUAAAUAAUGCAAACCCUGUGAUCAGAAGAUGACAAACGGUUUAUGAACACUGACUCUGACAAACAUGACAAAAUCACUCCCUGUUUGAGUAUAAAAAUACAUGCUGCACACAGGUCAACAGUCUUUCCAGCAUCAGCAAGGAAUGAACUGAGCUAAUUUCCACACUGCAAUUUAUGUCUCUCCUGACAGUAACUGGGUAACAGCCUGUGCUGACUGGGGGGAUUUUGCUGCUAGUUCUCCCCCACAAAUGGCAAAACAUCCCAAUGCCAGAGACAGAUAUGAUUUCACAUUAUUUAUGCUCAGCCUGAUUUCCCUCUCAUUCUUAGCUUACACGCCUUCAUUUUAAUCUUGAGAAUUCUUUAUGAUCUUUCAGCAUAUAUCUAUCCAUCACUAUAGCCUCUCAAAUAUCACAGGACCUCUGCUGAAGGGUAUGCUUUUGAAGAAUUCACUCGCCCAAUCUUUCAACAUUUUCCAGGCCAGCUAUCCUGCAUCCUAACGUCAAUGAGCAUAUGCCACAUCCAGACCGAUGUGAGACGUGCUUCUGGGAUCAGGUACGUUCGUGUCCCCCCGUACCUCCUAUAGCACGUUUCCUGUCAUUCAGCAUCAUGGCAAUAGAGGCUCUUGUCGUCUAUUAUCCCACCCUCGGAAGCCCACAUUCUUCCACACCAUUCUCCACAUUCAGGAUCAAGGCAGAAAACUGAGAGGCUAGGAGAAUAACUGCUCAUUAUUUUGGGGGGUCUGAAAUCUAUCCUGAAAUGAUAUGUCAGUGUUGGACCUGGCAAGAAGCUAGACCUAAAUCCUUGUGUAUGAGUCAGGGCUUUCUAUAGAACCAACAAGAUGUGGAGAGAGGGAGGAAGAGAGAGAAAUGGGCUUAAGCAAUUAUGGAGGCUGAGAAGUUCCAAGAUCAGAGGUUAGCAAGCUAAAAGUCCAGGAGAGCCAAUAGCAUAAAUUCCAGUCCAAGAGCCAGCAGGCUCAAGACCCAAGAACUGCCAAUGUUUCCAUUCAAAUCUGAAAGCAAGAAAAAUACUUUUAUCCCCACUAAAGCUUUCAAGUGGGAAGACUUCCCUCUUUUUUGAGGGAAGGUGUCAGGCUUUUUAUUCUAUUUAGGCCUUCCAAUGGAAGAUGAGGCUCACCUCUAGUAGGAGGCAAUCUGCUUUUUACUUAGUCUACUCAUCCCCAUGCUAAUCUCAUCUGAAAACCACUCAGAGACACGCCCAGGAUGAUAUUUAACCAACUCUCUGGCCAGCUCAGUGGCUGACACACAAAAUUAACCAUCACACCUUGGUUUACAAUCUCAGCUGUAAACUAGAGUCCGCUGUGAGCUUUUAAAAAUCGUGGUGUCAAAUCUGUACCCCCGGACCAGUUAAAUCAGAAUCUCCGGAAUGGGAACCAGGCAUAAGUAUUUUGAAUGAGUGUUGAGGACUCUGGACUUUGUAUUUUGCAAUAAAAGUCCAAAGUUGAAAGCCACGGCCCAUGAGAUCACCCUAACUAGAAUUCUCCUUUGGCUGUGCAAUAGGUCAUUUGCACCUGCCCAGGAGAGCAAUUCGGAUGACUAUGCACACCACGCAUUGGACAGGAUGCGGAGGAAGUGAAACUCUCCCACAGAGCUAAUGGGAAUGUAAUGCUACAACCUUGUUAGAAAACAACUGGGCAGUGUCUUAAAAUUUAAACAUACAUCUACCACGUGCUACAGACAUUCCACGGCUACUUUUAUGCAAAAGAAAUGAGUACCUCUGUCCAUACAAAGAUGUUUACACAAAUGUUCACUGCAGCUUUGUUUGUCACAGCCCCAAAGUGUAAACCACUCCAACAUCCAUCAACAGGCAAUGGACACUUCUAAACAUAUUGCAGGAUUCCAAUGAUACAAAUGUCCAGAAAAUUCAAAUUAAUCUAGAAAGACAGAUAGCAUAUCAGUGGUUGUCUAGGAAUCGGCCAGCAAAGGGACAGGGAGCAGAGGAAGGAAGGACGGGGGAAAUCUGGGGGAUGAUGAAUAUGCUCACUCUCUUGACUGAGCUGAUGGUUUCACUUGUUCAUAUAUUUGCUAAAAGAACAUACUUUAAAUGUGGGCAGUUCAUUGUACUUCAAUGACUUCAAUAAAGCUUCCAAAAUAUUUAGGCCCUGACAUGUUUGUUUACUAAUCCUGGGUCUGUAACAGCUCUAUUUUCCCUGAGGAUUGAUUCUCAGAAUCCCUCUGUCCUAUUUGUCUCUUCUUCUAAAAGAUCUUCUUCCUAUUUUCAUUUGUCCCAGAAAUGCAUCUCUAAUCGUGCCUUACUUUCUCUUCAAGGCAAAGUAGAUAUCUGCAAGGCAUGCAAAAUUUCUCAGGAAAGGGGUUAGGGAGAAGGAAAACCAGAGUCUCUUUUCAGUAUUUGAGGUGUGUAAUACUUAACGAAUCACACUCUCUGUAAAAUAUGGGGGAAGCAGCCAAACUACAGCACAGAGCCAUGGAAGUGCAGGGACACAGAGAUGUGGCUUGCAUCCCUCCUUGCCCAGAGUGGAGAUGUGUUUUGUAGGUUGUGUUUUCCCAAGAUGCCCACAGAAUUUCCCAUGCAUGUGGCCCCCUUUCAAGGAAAUGCCGACAUUCUUCCCAUUGAGGGGUGGGUCUUGACAGUCUCCAUGGGAAUUUGGGCAGGCUUGUGACAAGGGCUGACAUGACCCAAUAGGGAACUGUGUGGCCAGAUCAUAAAAGAUGAUACAAUUUCUGCCUGGUUCCCGUGGGGCACUUGCUGUUGGAACCCAGGCAACUGUGCUAUGAGGAAUCUCAAACAGCCACAUGGAGAGUUAAUGUUGAGGUGUUCUGGCCUCUGGCCCCAGCGGAGAUCCCGCCUGAAAGCAAUGUCAGCUGCCAGUCAUGUUAGCAAAGCAGCCUUCAGAUAAUACCAGUUCCCCAGCCAUCGAAUCCUCCCAACUGAAGUUCCAGAUACUGCACAACAGAGACAAGAUAUUCCCCUAGGCUCUUUCCAAAUGUCAAACCAACAAUAUAUUAGCAUCAUGAAACAGUUGCUUUCUGUCCCUAAGCUUCAGGUAAUUUGUUACAGUACAAUAGUAACUAGAACAGGAGGCCAGGCCCUUGUUGUCUUCAUUAACUUCCAUCGGUAGGAAUCUGUCAUUAUUGCUACUAUUCUCAAAAUUAACUUGAAGAUACUUUCACUGGGAGAAAAACUCACAACAACGUGGUACACAGCAUUUCUGAAGAAGUCAUGACCAUGAAAUCCACUGACAGGAAUGUGACUCCCAUAUACUGAUGAUACAGAGAUAAAUAAGACAGAGACCAAGGUGGGUGCUUUCCAUUAAAAAUUCAAAAUCGCACACUCUUAAUAAGGAAGCCCUAAUAUGAGUUAACUAGUGAAGUUAAUGUUUAUUGAGCCAUAAGAACAUUUUUAUCAGUGCCCUUAUUUUAUUAAUUACCAUAGAAUUGUAAACGGAGAAAACAGGCAAAAAAAUCAAUAUCCUUAGUUUUGGUGAAGUACAACAUUUUAUAGUAAAUUUAACUUUAUUUGCUCGAAGGUUUUGGUUGAAAGUACAUGGAUAUUGGAGUUCCCUUGUGGUGCAGUGGGUUAAGGAUCCAGCUGUCACUGCAGUGGCUUGGGUCACUGCUGUGGCACAGAUUCAAUCCCUAGGAAUUUCCAUAUGCCACAGGUAGCCAAAAAAAAAAAAAGUACUAAGAAAAGAGAAAAUCACAUAUUCAGAGAGUAAAGCCACAAUUCUCCAGCUUUGUUCAAUAUAAGUUUAUUGAGCAUCUACUAGAAGACAUCAGUGGGAUGGCUCCAUUUCCUCUGGCCAUGUUCACUCGUCUACAGAUAUCCUAACACAGUUAGUUCUCUGAUGGGACUAGGAGAUGAAAGGGAGGUCCACUGAAAUGAAUGGAUUGAUACAGUCUCUGGCAAAUCUCAAGGCACAUUCUCCAAGCUGGAGGCCAUUCACGCAGGACAAAUGAUGCAGCGUUUUAAAAUAAACUGGCUCAGGACAUGGAAACAAUCCAAAUGUC